CAAGACACAAUUUUGUUUUGAAAAACAACACAAGAAAGCUAGCCUGAGUUCAAGUCUGAAAUAUUCAGAAAAAUCCUACUAAUAUCUUUAGUAUGUUCCAGUCAUUUUUUUUAAACAACACACUAAAAGUUAAUAUAUAUUUUUAUAAUUAUAAAAGUUCCCCAGUUAUUGUACAGUACACAAUACAAAUUGCCCACAAACUAUCAUUUAGCUCCUGCCAAUUUGGAGAGGACAUUAUAUACUAAAAGAUUUAGCAUUUCUCACAAAAAUCACAUCAGGAAAUACGUAUUUACAAAACCCAAUACAUUAUACAAAAAAAAAGAAAGAAAACAAGAAAAUCAUCACAUGGUAUUCUCCAAUAAGUCUUAAAUAAAAUGCUUAUUCAACUGUAAUCCAAAAACUGGAAAAGAACAUUACAUUAUCACACACAUACAAUCGCUACUGAAGAAAAGUAAAAGCUGGUUACCUUACAUUUGUAAAGUAUUAUUUCCAUAUGCCAAAAAAAACUAACUAAAAUAUCUCACUGUUACUAUGCUUCUGUGUUUGUGGACUGUGUUAAUGUCCUCUGCUACUUACCAAGUGAAGAAAAAAUGGCACUUAAAAGAAAAAAAAAACUUAACAAAACAGAAGAACAUGAUAUUAUGAAGUUUCUAGGGUAAGAAAGCCCUGAGGAGUCUCGGAUGAAUGGCAUGGAAUAUUGUGUAGGUAGAUACCAUGGACAGCUAAGUACAGGCACCAACUGUUCAGGGUGUUUUCUCAUUUACUUCUACCAUGAAGGCACUCAGUGUUAUCUCUUUCUCAGGUGAAUUAAAGCAUUGGCUUCAGUGCUGGUGCCAGGCAAGAUAUCAACACAUCAAUGGUUCCUCAGCCUUCAGAGGGACCAAGAUCAGAGUAGCCAAUUUUAAGCAGAAUGCAUUUUAAUUUAAGGCAUAUGCAUUCUGAAAGACACAUCAUUCUUCAUAAAUUUAAUACAGUCAUUUUCAUGCACUAGAUGACCUGUUGUCAAUGAUCUAGAGUUGUACAAAAUGUAUUAAUUCUCUAGAUAGGUUCCCCUGAUUGCUUGUGGUAACAUCCAGGUGCCCCACAUGUGUGCGUGUGUGUGUAUGAUAGAAGCCUGAUUAAUUGGGUAGCAGUUAUAGUCAACUGAUACUUGGCUAUAAGAAAAAUAAUAAUUUCAUCUGUAUUUUUUUCUACGUAGGCAUUAAGAAAACUUGUGGGGCAUAAACUAUUAAAGUUUGUUGAGCUACACCAAGAUUUUUACGAUUUGAUGGCUGUGCCAAUAUUUGUUCUUUUUUAAAGUUUAUUUAAGAAAUCUAGAAAAACAUCAAGUAUUGCCCAUGGCAUCUUUAGGUAGCGAAGAAGCAGAAGGGCCAUUCUCUGUGCCACGCUAAUGUCUCAUCCUUGUGAACUUGAGCAUGUUAGCUCCAUGGGGACACUGGGAUGGACAAUUUAGACUUCUUUUGUCAGUAGUUUUGAACUCAGGGCUUUCAUUCCCAAGAUUUUAAACGCCAGUGUUAAAAUAAGGCAAGUUGCACAUUACAUAAAUAAACCAUUUAAGAAUCAAACAGAACAAAACUAAACCAGGCAGUCACUUUGCAAGUGGCUUUUACUACGAAAAAUAGGUAAACUAUACUCAUUUCUAUACUGGCACGUACACCCACUAGCAGCAAUGAUCAAGGCAUGCAAACUGAGAAGCAUUUACAGUAAAUCAUUGUGAAGAUCAACAUAAUAAAUCAUCAAAACUACAACCCUUUGAGUAUCGUACAGCUGCAUGAAACGAAGCAUGAAGUAAUGUAGAGAGCAGCCAUGGGGAUCUAACCAAGACCUAGUACUAUGAAGACUACAGAGUGAAACUUUUAAUGGAGUCAGUGAGGCUAAUGCAAUCUAUACAAUGCAUCCUGCAUUGUUUAUUUAAAUAAGGUCUAAAUUUCUGCAUAAACUGUAAACAGUCUGUCUUUGGAUGGCUCUGUGUUAGUCCUAUGUGUUUUGGUUACAGUCGGUGUUACUUUGAGCCGUACUCUGCUAUCCAUACUGUAUUCAAGGCUAUCUCUGUAUGAAUAUGUGAAUUUUAUUUUUUUGUUCUAAGAACAAAAAAAUAUGCACAUGUACUAUAGACAACAGUGCUCUAUUUUACAGAUAUUGAAUAAUUCCAAUGCAUACAUGAAGGGUAGUGUUACAAACAAUUUUUUUCAGUAGGUUUACAGAAGACACCAACAUAACUUUACUAACUGCCUGAAAAUGAAAUAAACUGAAAAGAUCCUAUGAAACAAGUCUGUUAUCACAGCACUUAAAAUUGUGCUAUGCAGACAAGGCUGUCCUGUGGCUAUUUUCAUUUACAACACUUAAUAGGCCUGCAUAAAGUCCAAGGAUAUGUAUAAGAAAGAAAAACCAUGAAAAAAAACACAGAAAAUUAUCCAUGUAGGCAUCAUAUUUAGUAAAUGAAAAUAAAUGUCCGAUAAUGAAAUGGGCAUAGAUAAAAUAAACAUGCUACUAGGUCAGUGGUUCUUACUCUCUACGUAGGAACAUGGAGGGCCACUGCUAUUUCUGUAUGUCCCCAGUGAUGGGAACAAUGGAAACCCUUGUGUCACUGCAAAGAGUUCAUUAAAAGUGUUUUGCAGGAUUACAUCUGUAUAUAUUUUAUUACUAUGGUACAGUGGGUCACUGAACUCAUUACCAAGAUAAUUUAGGUCUCUGUCAAGAAAAGGUUAAGAACCAUUGUACUAUUUGAACAUAUUUUGCAUGGAGAGAAAAUUAACUGUGUACCUGACACGAUUACUCAUAAAAAUAUUAAUGGCUCUAGAGAAAAACAAAAAAAUGGAUUUUGUACCAAUCUGUACUGCAUAUCUGCAUUACAAUGUGUGUGGAUAAAUGAUUGCAGUACACAGUAUACUCAGUAGUUGCAUCUUAUGCAGCCUAUGAGCCUAAAUGAAAGGCUUUGAAUGUUUGUAAAUGGGGCUAUCUAUAGUCCAACAUAUGUUUACCUGUCUACCAUCACUCUAUAGAUCAUACUAAUCCUGAAUUUUACAAUGCUCAAAGGGUUAUUCAAAGGUGUUCUAGUACUACUACACAAUUAUGUUUCUAUUCCAGUUUUUUUUUUUUGUCUUUUUAUACUUAAAAUAUUUAGUGCAGGUGUUUGGAAUCUUACUUGUCAUAUAUUUUGAAAGAAAUUGAAUGUAUUUUUGGGUGUUUUUUUUUUUUUUUUAAAUAUAUACUUAACCCUUACAGAACAGGGAGUUGCUAUUUAGCACAAAUGGCAAGUCUCUUUAGAAAUAAACAUCUAUACCUCUAUUAAAAAGAAAAACUGCAAAGUUACUUCAUGAUUGGAUUACAACAGAAGGUAAAAUUGUGUUUUCAGUGUUGCAGUUAAAUUAUGAUAUACGGUGUCAUAAAAGCAGUGCCCAACACAAUGCAUUUAUAAAACAUUUGUUAAAAAAUAUCUGUUACUGAGUUAGCUCAGCUGACUAAUAAACCAUCCGAUGGGCCUGUUUCAACCUGAGGGCUGCAUGUUUGAGUCUAGAAAGGGUUAAACCAGCCUAUCCAAUAGAAAUCUGAGAGCACUGCAAAUCAUAUUGGAGAGUAAUGCUCUAAUAAAAGAACAUAAUAUUCGUAUUUGGUGAAUGAAAAGUGUAAAACACAAAGAAAGCUGGCUGUAAAACUCUUUCGUAUAACAUGUCUCAGUGUCAACACAACCUGAUACUUAAAACUCUAUUUUUUGAUUAUGUUUUAUGUUUUGUGUGCUUUUGCACAGUAAAACGAUUAGUGGAUUACAACCGGUUUACUGUUGUUUAGGUAGAUUUUUACCUCCUCUAAGUCAGUGGUUCCCAAACCAGUCCUCAUGACCCAACAGCAGUCAGCUGUUGGUCGUAUUUCCAUUAAUUUAAUUGGAUUAAAAAAGGGGAAACACAUGAAUUCUGGACUGUUGGUGGGCCAUGAUGACUGAUUUAGGAACCACUGCUUUAGAUGGAUUUUAAGCUAUGAGACAUUUUAAAGUGUUCUUUGCAAAUUUUACUUUUAAAGGCAGACAUGAGGAGAAAACUAAAAUUAAGGUUUAGCACUAAAAAGUACUGGUGUGGGGAGAUGAGGUGCAAAGCAUAAGUAUAAAGCAGAUAACAGCAAUCCAGUGCAUAUUGGAGCAAUGUUCUCCUACAGCAAGUAUCACCAUUUAAGCAAAAUAAAUAGAUAAAUUAACCAACAAAUUAAAGGUGAUACGGGAAAUGUUGAGCAAUAAAAAAAAAUGUAUACGCAAGAUUAUAGUCAUUGUUAAAAAGUUUCAUGCAAUGUUAUAACGGAAAGUGUCAUUAAUACAAAUCAAGAUAAUAUUUUUUAAGAAAAUAUCAGUUAAUUAGCAACAUUCAAGUAGGCCAUGCAACGAGAAAAAAGAAAAAAGUCCCAUAACAUUAAAAAGAAGAAGAAAAAAAACAGACACAAGACAAACAAAGCGUGGCUUAUUUAAUUCCAACUAAGCCAAGCAAAUGGCCACUGGUUCAUACCAGAGUUGACGCGAAGUAUGAAUACAAACUAUAUUAAAUACAAAUAAGAAUUUUCCCUUUUAGUAUAUGUGGAUGUUUUAUAUCAAAAUUAUAGCCCAGUAUCUUGAGCCUUUAAAACAUUGAAGCAUAGAAUUUGACAGAAGUUUUUUUUUUUCAAGUUCUCCCAAUAUAUUUCAAGAUCUGGUUACUUUGACAUGUAUUUUUGAUUAAAACAAAUAAUUGUAAAUUUAAAAUGUUGUUUUAUUUUAAAUUUAAUCAACUCAUCUUCUACUAUAUUCAAGUGAUUUAACAGUGCAUGGACUAUAGCAAUCCCAUCGGAAAUUAAGCCAAAUGUGAUGUUAAUUAUUUUUGGCUCAAAAAGCACAUUUUCUAUAUUCAGGUUUGUUUUUUUAAGUUUAGUUAACUUUUUAUUAUUCUACUUUCAAGCAUGGACCUAAUUAAUUAAUCAGCCCAGUGAUAAAAUGCUGUAUUCUUACACUUUCUGCUUAACAUGAAAUCACAGCCCAACCAAAACAUAAAAAUCUAAAUUAAAUCACUGAUGAAGAUAGAGGAGAGGCUCAUCACUCAAUAUGCCAUUGAUAUAAUUGAAAUCUCAUAAUUGAUCUACUGAGUGUAUGCUCUUCAAUACUCACAUGCAAAGUGGAAACUAAUCAGUAAAACUUAAGCCCCUUCUCAACAAAUUAACUAGUAAUUGCAUUUAGGCCUAAUAUAUGUUUGAAAAAUAACUGAACAUUCUGUUUCAACUGGAGAGGAUUUAUUUAUAUGACCGAAUGACUUUCCCAUCUUGUUGUGUACUAGGAAUUUAAAAUGGAUAAACAAGCAAAGGAUACUUCUCUGUACAAUUGUACAGACUGGAUUAAAACGUAUGAAUGGGACACUGUGAUUUUAUUUUGAUACACCAUAUGCUCUAACAAAGCCACAUCGAGAUGGCAGACAACUGUAUUACCCUUGAGUAAUUUAAGGAAUGUUGCACUUUUGCACAAACUUUUACACGUCAUCUUGAAGAAGUUUUUUUUUAAUUAUUACAGAAAAAACUAUUAUGUAUUCCUUGCAAUAGGAUUAACAAAAUACAUUUGUUUUGUUCACAUCUGUUUACUAGGGUGGCCAUUUGCAAUAUUUAUGUAUUUUAGUAAUAAUUGAUCCAUAUGCCCCUCUUUCUUUUCAACAUUAAAGGGACACUAGUCACCGGAACCACUACAGCUUAAGUCCUUGCAGGAUUUUUUAUGUAAACACUGCCUUUUUAGACAAAAGGCAGUGUUUACAUUGCUGCUUAGUAACACCUUUAGUGGCAGUCACUCAGACAGCUAUUAGAGAUGCUUCCUAGUUCGUGAUGCACAGUGUGCAGCACUGGCAUUCAGCUUUUCUAUGCUUCGAGUUUAAAACCUUUUCAAAGUGAUAUGAGGGGGGCUGGGGACGUUUAAUCCUAUAGUGUCAGGAAUGUGUUUUUGUUCUUGAUACUAUAGUUUUCCUUUACUUGCAAAGAAUCCACCUUUUUCAAAUUAGACAAUGUAUUGUUCCAGUACUCUUUGGGAUUUAUUCACUGAGCUCAGCAAUUUUUUUCUCCAAAUUAAGCCAUUUAACCUAUUUUACUUACUUAUUUUUGGUUUCCAGGUCAUCACUAGAUUAAGUAAGUUUUCCCCCAUUAUUUUACUGCUGAGACACAGCUAAAUUAGGCAUUGCUUCCUGCCCCAAACCACACCUUGCCAGACAUCUGUGUGGAUGUGUAAAAUGUGUGUGUGUUUAUGCAUAUAUAUGUGAUUUUAUAUGUGAUUUAUAUAUAUCAAUGUACAUGUGAUGUGUGAUCGAGAGUACAUGCAACAUAUGUGAUUACAAAUGUGAUGUGUUUGUAUGACUCUAUAUUUGAUUUGUGUUAUAUUACUGUAAUGUGUAUUAGUGGCUAUAUGGGAGACUGCUUACUUACAUGUAAUAUGUUCAGUCUAUGAGCCUUACAUAAAUAUGCAGUCAUACAUGCACACACAUUGUAAUGAAAACUACACUCAUAUUAAAUUGCAGUGUAAGUGUGAAUGCAGGUUAUAUUGCAUACUCAAUCUUUAGGUGAGCCACAUGAGGAAAUAGGGAAAGCAACUGGUUACAAUGAAAAAUAGGCGGGAGUCCAAACAUAUCGACAAAAUAUCACUGACUAGAUCCCAAUAUAAAAUCUAUAAUCAUUCAGUGGUUUGUUGUUUUUGUUUAUAUUCUACAUGUUAAAAAAAAUAUUUAUGUGAAUAAGAAAUAGCUACAGCUAUGCAAUUCUUUUUUUAAAGGACAGGUCAUUGCCUCCCAUGGAUCACAAAAAUUUAAAUGACAGAUUUGUGCUCAGAUCUUGUUUCUCCUUAAAGGCCAGAGAAAAUGUAUAUGUAUUAGUUUUAAAAAAAAUCUUUUUUUGUUGUUUGUGACUCACCAAAAUGACAGUUAUCGCUAUGUCUUGAACUAAACCAAACAUGAUUCACUUUAGAUCCUUAUUAAUGAUGUAUUAUGUUUGCAUUGCUUUGUGCAUGGACAAACCAUGUGGCGAAGGCUUAUAUAGGCUGCCAUACUUUGGCUCCUAACGCGUUCCAUGCUCCCACUGAAAGGCUGCAAAAAUUAUGACCCAUCUAACAGUUGCUCUGGAUAGCAAUUUUACUGACAUAAUAGCACAUUUCUGUUUUGUCUACUGACUGCAACUUGAAUCCAGCAAUACGUACAGGGCACUCAUGUUGUUUUGGAUAAGACUUGGCCGAUUCAGUUUCCUAACUCUGCAGCUAGCCCUUGGGCUAUCAGGACUAUGCUCACAAUUCCAAAAUACUACUGUUUGUACUAAAGCGAAAAUCACUGAGAUACAAAAUGGGGGAACGGGUGCGACUAUUUAGCAACAAGUAUUACCAGUACAAAAAUUAGGACUCUUCCCACUUUAUGGGGUUUUUAAAAACAACAGGCACACCUUGCAGAGAAAUGUUAACAGGAACAAAGAAAAACUACUACAGCUUAGCUUCAGCUCUGUUUAAGGCACCAUGAAAUACGCGAGGUACAGUGAUCCCUGAUGUACAUUCUUAAAUGGCAAUGCUCUGUCUAGCCACCUGUUCAAAUCCUACACGAAAUGGGGAUAAGUUCCAGUGAGGUGUGCCAGCUACACUGCCUAAAAUGUAUUACACAUAUCUUAGUAAUUUCACACACUUUAAUCUAAAUCACAUUAAUGCUGCAGUCUAUGAUGCCGGGGCUAAAAUAGUAGAGAACUACAUCCAAUACAGCCUCCUUUAUGACCGUCAAGGUAAAGCUCUGUGACUUAGAACUCUUUACCCAUAAUUCACUUAAAGAAAAAAAAACUUUCCGACUAUUAGUUAUUUAAGGAGUAUAACACUCUCCAUUGUUUACACUCUCUAUGAAAAUAAAUUACCAGAUGACACAAUACUUCUAGUAUGUAAACACUUCAUAAAUAGCUGUGAAGUAAACUCAAUGGUUCACAUUAAAUAUACAUUAAUUUGUUUUCAGUGCUGCUAUUUUAUGAGACAAAUGUAUCUCUAAAAAUCUAGGCUUUGUUAUGAAACAGUGUUUGCAUGAUGUUCCUUUUUGCAUUUUGCCAACAAUUGUUAAAAAAAA
Molecule: non-coding RNA, 8066 nt
Organism: Pelobates cultripes (western spadefoot toad)
Lineage: Eukaryota; Metazoa; Chordata; Amphibia; Anura; Pelobatidae
Source: the annotation of a GenBank genome assembly